Triticum aestivum (bread wheat) is the source of this 372-nucleotide long non-coding RNA. RefSeq lists it as uncharacterized. The transcript has 2 exons. Lineage: Eukaryota; Viridiplantae; Streptophyta; Magnoliopsida; Poales; Poaceae. The record is from RefSeq and is a predicted model, not a curated record.
AAACCAGCUCCGCCCGCCGUAGCAGAGGACAGGCCCCGUUCGUGGCCUCCCCUCCCCUCCGCCCGGGUGCGACCUUCCCUGCGCUCUGGCGCGGCCUGCCCUCCCCUCUGGUGCGACCUGCUCUCUGUUUGCAGGAAAAAUAAAAGAAACCGCUUUCUACAUGCAAAAGGGCAUCAAAUUUUGGAAGAAGUAUGGCGUUGAAUGGAAAAAAUGAGGAAAAAAAGGAUCCUCAAGCAAAUCAAGCAAUGGAAAUCUUCCUUGGUGGAGCUAGUAAUGCAAAGCUGCAAAGCUUCAGUUUUAUGUAAUCUUGGCUAAAUUGUGAUAAUUUUAUGUUGCUGUGAACCUCUGCUGUAUUGUUAAGAUUGAACUUUU